This 1217-nucleotide ribosomal RNA is filed under the name Verrucomicrobiota bacterium. RNAcentral describes it as "bacterial LSU rRNA". It matches the Rfam family "Bacterial large subunit ribosomal RNA", at positions 1 to 837 of the family's 2925-position model. Lineage: Bacteria; Pseudomonadati; Verrucomicrobiota. The record is from RNAcentral.
UGAUCAAGCUACAAAGAGCGCAUAAUGGAUGCCUUGGUGCCAAUAGGCGAUGAAGGACGUGGCUAACUGCGAUAAGCCUCGGAGAGCGGUAAACACGCUGUGACCCGGGGAUUUCCGAAUGGGAUAACCUGAGUGGGGUAACACCUGCUCGAGUUCCUGUGAAUACAUAGCAGGAACAUCGCGACACCCGGUGAAGUGAAACAUCUCAGUAACCGGAGGAACAGAAAGCGAAAGCGAUUCCGUCAGUAGUGGCGAGCGAAAGCGGAAGAGACCAAACCCCGCUCAUUCAUGCGCUUUACCAACCAUAUCGAUUUGAAAAGCCGCAGGCUUUUCAAAGCCUCUCUCAAAGGGUGGCAAUCGUGCGGAAAGUAGAGCGUAAGAAUGAGCGGGGGGUUGUAGGAGCCCGAUGUGGUAGUGCAACGGUUAGAUGAAGCGAAUGGAAAAUCGCUCCAUAGAGGGUGACAGGCCCGUAAUCGAAAACCCGCGCACGCCUAGGGAUUUCCUGAGUAAUACGAUGCACGUGAAACUUCGUAUGAAUCCACGCCGACCACGGCGUAAGUCUAAAUACUAAUUGGCGACCGAUAGUGAACAAGUACCGCGAGGGAAAGGUGAAAAGAACCGCUGUGAGCGGAGUGAAAUAGUACCUGAAAUUAUGUGCUUACAAGGUGUCAAAGCCCAGCACUUUCUGAUUCCAUGGAAAACGUGUCUUACGUUUACGUGUUGAAGAAUCCGAAAAGUCGGGCGUUAUACUACGGCUUUAGUAGCAACCUGAGGCAGCGCUUCGAGCAGCAUCAAAAGAUGUCGAAGCAUGCCGGAUGGACGCUGGUCUACUAUGAAGCGUAUUCGAAUGAGCAGGACGCGAGAGAUCGCGAACGCCAACUCAAACAAUACGGAGCCGCGAGAGGUCAUCUCAAACAACGUAUAAUGCGAAGCCUUUCAACAUCCGCCGAGGAGUUAGAAAGUGCUGGGUGAUGGCUUGCCUUUUGCUUAAUGAGUCUGCGAGUUAUUGUCAGUGGCGAGCCUAAGCCGUUCUGCGGUGGAGGCGAAGCGAAAGCGAGUCCGAAAUGGGCGAUCCUAGUCGCUGGCAGUAGACCCGAAGCCGAGGUGAUCUACCCAUGAGCAGGCUGAAGGUUGCUUAACCGCAACUGAAGGGCCGAACCCGUGAAGGUUGAAAACUUCUGGGAUGACUUGUGGGUAGGAGCGAAAGACUAAUCAAA